UGAAGACUUUCCUGGGGUUAAAAGGACUCUUUCUGGUUCACUCCUUGAUAUCGACCUGUGCUGGGGAUUGAGCAGCUGUUCAAGUCCAACCCACCCAGUUUUGGUUCUAUGCCAGGCUUAAAUCCACGAUAUUUCACAAUUCGUGUAUGCCACCUGAUGAAGUGUUUUUAGGUGAUGACUGCCUUGUAACCUAACAUUUUGCCAAAUGUUUAUUGUAAAUUUUUCUACCAUCAUCAUUACUGUGGUAUUGUAACUAAAACUCUCCAGGAAGUUA
Molecule: long non-coding RNA, 274 nt
Filed under: Homo sapiens (human)
Lineage: Eukaryota; Metazoa; Chordata; Mammalia; Primates; Hominidae
Description: non-protein coding lnc-KLF18-3:1
Source: RNAcentral